This 600-nucleotide ribosomal RNA is filed under the name uncultured Prochlorococcus sp. RNAcentral describes it as "bacterial SSU rRNA". It matches the Rfam family "Bacterial small subunit ribosomal RNA", at positions 125 to 759 of the family's 1533-position model. Lineage: Bacteria; Bacillati; Cyanobacteriota; Cyanophyceae; Synechococcales; Prochlorococcaceae. The record is from RNAcentral.
UCUGCCCUCAGGGGGGGGAUAACGGCUGGAAACGGCCGCUAAUACCCCAUAUGCCGAGAGGUGAAAUGAAUUUCGCCUGAGGAUGAGCCCGCGUCUGAUUAGCUAGUUGGUGUGGUAAUGGCGCACCAAGGCUUCGAUCAGUAGCUGGUCUGAGAGGAUGAUCAGCCACACUGGGACUGAGACACGGCCCAGACUCCUACGGGAGGCAGCAGUGGGGAAUUUUCCGCAAUGGGCGCAAGCCUGACGGAGCAACGCCGCGUGAGGGAUGAAGGCCUCUGGGCUGUAAACCUCUUUUCUCAAGGAAGAAGAUAUGACGGUACUUGAGGAAUAAGCCACGGCUAAUUCCGUGCCAGCAGCCGCGGUAAUACGGGAGUGGCAAGCGUUAUCCGGAAUUAUUGGGCGUAAAGCGUCCGCAGGCGGCCUUUCAAGUCUGCUGUUAAAGCGUGGAGCUUAACUCCAUCAUGGCAGUGGAAACUGUUGGGCUUGAGUGUGGUAGGGGCAGAGGGAAUUCCCGGUGUAGCGGUGAAUGCGUAGAUAUCGGGAAGAACACCAGUGGCGAAGGCGCUCUGCUGGGCCAUAACUGACGCUCAUGGACGAAAG